RNAcentral lists this long non-coding RNA (2732 nucleotides) under Sus scrofa (pig). RNAcentral's name for it is "lncRNA (ENSSSCG00065050803.1)". The record is from RNAcentral. Lineage: Eukaryota; Metazoa; Chordata; Mammalia; Artiodactyla; Suidae.
UUUUUUAUUUUUUUGCUUUUUAGGGCUGCAUUUGUGGCAUAUGAAAGUUCCCAGGCUAGGGGUUGAAUAGGAGCUACAGCUGCCAGCCUACACCACAGCCACAGCAACACAAGAUCCAAGCCUACAUCUGGGACCUACACCACAGCUCACGACAACGCCAGAUCCUUAACCCUCUGAGCAAGGCCAGGGAUUGAACCUGCAUUCUCACAGAUACUAGUAGGGUUUGUCACCGCUGAGCCAUGAUGGGAACUCAGAAGACCAUUUCUAAACAGACACAUUGAGAAGUGCCCUUUGCUUAUUCCUGGCAUUUUCUCUUACAUAUUUUUAAAUUACAUACAACAAAAUUCUGUUUCAGUCAACUGGCUCUUUUUUCUUUGGAAAAUAAAGUUUUAUUAUUGAGUAGUUUUAUAUCUGGGUUCCCAGUAUUUUCUCUAAAUAGAAGCAUGAAAAAUCCGAGUUAAGUUUUUCUUCAUCAAGAGGGUACUGCCUCACUCCUUAAUGACUUUAUUUAGAAACUGUACUUCUCAGCAAUUCUUUCAAAAUUCAGCUUAAUCUGGAGUUCCCUUCAUGGCGCAGUGGUUAACGAAUCCGACUAGGAACCAUGAGGUUGCAAGUUCGGUCCCUGCCCUUGCUCAGUGGGUUAACGAUCCGGCAUUGCCCCAACAUGCAGCACGCCACGUAUUCAAAACUUAGGUAUUCUGGGUUCAGUAAGGAAAACAUGUUGCCAUGAACUUACGACAGCCCACUGUGGAAAUUACUAGUUUCUUUCUCAAUGACAUAAUAUCACAAGAACUAAAAGCAGGUCUGCAGACCAAGGUCGUGGUCAUUCCAAAUAUCCUCAAUGCUACCUUAUGGACGAGGGCAACUGGACCUAUCACUCAUCACAACUGUGGAUUCAUUCACUCACUAUCUUGACAGGUGAGAUUCCAUUCUGAGGUUCCUCUAUCACUCUGUAUCAAUCUGCCCCUUCGAUUGGAGACAACCAUUCCGUUUAGGGUUCCACCUGCUGCUUUUUAUUUCAAACUUCAGUUGAAUCCUUUCCCAGGAUUCUUAUCCCCUGGCAUUUCAUCAUGGCCACAGGCCAACUUUCAUGGAUCUGCACGAAAUGCCAGGAGUCUCCAAUCAAAGAGAGCCUCUGACCUAAAUCACCUCCAUAGUCUUCAAAGCCCGUGUCCCAGGGUCUUACCAGCCCAGACCCUACGAUCCCCAAAGGCCCUUUCUCCAUCUAUCUUUGCUAUUGGAAAAGCCUGGCCCUGAGGUCUGCACGCAGGUGAUAUGAGCUAAAAAGAGUGAAACAAGAGGGCAGCUGAGCUGCAUUUCACGUGGUCCAUCCUGACAUUGAAACAGGUGAAAAGAGUGACAGUUCCUUCAGCAGCUAACCUGCACCAGGUGUUCUGCAUGAAUUACUCUCAACCAACCUUGUUUUUUUUCACAUUACAAAGGUUAGGCUAUUUAGAUUCUUAACAAGGUAACUUGCUCAAACUCACCGGAAGAACAAGAGCCAGAAUUCCAACAACAAUCUGAUUUCAAAAUGUUUUCGUUUUGUUUUGACCACCAUCCAUCCCAAACUUCCCACUGAAUCCAGUUGAAAAUAUACAAUUCCACCUAUAUUAGGGUUGCACCUCCUGUUCUUUAUUUUAAACUUCAAUCUAACCUAUUGCCUGAAUUCGCAUCCACAAGCAUUUCAUCUGGGGCACAGACCAACUUUCAUGGAACUCAGGGCCUCCUGCCUGAUUUAUCUUUAUUCUCCUCAAAGCACUGUGACCAGGUGACCAGAGUCUUGACCCCAGCAGCCAGCCCCUCCCCCCCAAUAAACCUUCGCUAUUUGGAAUAGCUCCGCUAUUUGUUGUUGGAAACAACCUUGAGCUUUUGCCUGAAAUACUCUUCUGUCCAUCCCUGUUUGACCAACACUCUCAGCCAGAGAUAGCCAGAACUUUGUAGAGACUUCAGGAGAUGCAGCAAAGAAUACUAAGUAAAGGAAGGAGCCCAAGGCAUAUUCUAACAGCUCACGGCCGGGUAUCCGCGGGAGCUCCUGAUCCUGUUCCGGAUAAAGGUGACCAGCCUGGUCACGCCAAUAGGGGGGUGGUGUGGGCAUGAAGUAGCGGACUCACCUGAGGAAGAAGAGAUAGGAGUAAUCCUGGACCACGGUGGCAGUGGCAAGAGAAAUAACCCAGGCCGCUGAGGUUGAGCCUGAAACCCGGGGCACCUGGAGCAUGACGCCCAAGCCUGGUCGCUGGGCAUCUGGAUCUCGGCGGCGCAGGAGAGGCCCGCGUCGCUGGCCCCCUUCCGCCCGAGCAGGUAGCUGUGAAGGCCGUGCCCCUACUGGUGCAGCGCCAGUACCUCGUCAGGAUGACCUGGGCCAGCUCCGUGCGGCGGCCAUCGCUCAGCAGUCUCCACUCAGGGCAGCUGGAAGCCGCGGCGGGCGCGGGCCGGGAGGGCCAAGGCAGAGCAGCAGCAGGCUCAGCAAGCGAACGGCGAGGGUGGCGCUGGGCGGCGGGACGCGGUGCAGCCGGGGCGCACAAAGUCUGUGCCCACCCGGGGAGGCCCGGGGCUCGCCGGCAGAGUGCGGGCCUCGGGGAGCCCCGAGCGCCUGGCCCAAGGUGCCUCCGGGAAAGCGCAACUGCCGGCGCUGGGCUUGCGUGUUUCUCUCCCGACAGCCAGGCUCACCCAGCCGGCCUCCUCUUGCUGUGCUUCAAAAGGGGCGCAGGAACCGCUGUCCGCAGCCGGACCGC